Molecule: ribosomal RNA, 264 nt
Filed under: uncultured archaeon
Lineage: Archaea
Description: partial 16S ribosomal RNA
Rfam family: Archaeal small subunit ribosomal RNA
Source: RNAcentral
AGUCACUGACAUUAGAUACCCCUGUAGUCCCAGCCGUAAACAAUGUGCGUUAGGUGUGUCGGUAACCACGCGUUACUGAUGCGCCGAAGAGAAAUCGUGAAACGCACCACUUGGGAAGUACGGUCGCAAGGCUGAAACUUAAAGGAAUUGGCGGGGAGCACCACAACAGGUGGAGCCUGCGGUUUAAUUGGAUUCAACGCCGGACAUCUCACCGGAUAAGACAGCUGAAUGAUUGUCAAUCUGAAGGUUUUACAUGACUAGCUG